GGGGGAUAUUGCGCAAUGGGGGCAACCCUGACGCAGCAACGCCGCGUGAAGGAUGAAGGUUUUCGGAUUGUAAACUUCUUUUAUUAAGGACGAAACUUGACGGUACUUAAUGAAUAAGCUCCGGCUAACUACGUGCCAGCAGCCGCGGUAAUACGUAGGGAGCAAGCGUUGUCCGGAUUUACUGGGUGUAAAGGGUGCGUAGGCGGCUUUGCAAGUCAGAUGUGAAAUCUAUGGGCUCAACCCAUAAACUGCAUUUGAAACUGUAGAGCUUGAGUGAAGUAGAGGCAGGCGGAAUUCCCCGUGUAGCGGUGAAAUGCGUAGAGAUGGGGAGGAACACCAGUGGCGAAGGCGGCCUGCUGGGCUUUAACUGACGCUGAGGCACGAAAGCGUGGGUAGCAAACAGGAUUAGAUACCCUGGUAGUCCACGCUGUAAACGAUGAUUACUAGGUGUGGGGGGUCUGACCCCUUCCGUGCCGGAGUUAACACAAUAAGUAAUCCACCUGGGGAGUACGGCCGCAAGGUUGAAACUCAAAGGAAUUGACGGGGGCCCGCACAAGCAGUGGAGUAUGUGGUUUAAUUCGAAGCAACGCGAAGAACCUUACCAGGUCUUGACAUCCAACUAACGAAGUAGAGAUACAUUAGGUGCCCUUCGGGGAAAGUUGAGACAGGUGGUGCAUGGUUGUCGUCAGCUCGUGUCGUGAGAUGUUGAGUUAAGUCCCGCAACGAGCGCAACCCUUGCUAUUAGUUGCUACGCAAGAGCACUCUAAUAGGACUGCCGUUGACAAAACGGAGGAAGGUGGGGACGACGUCAAAUCAUCAUGCCCCUUAUGACCUGGGCUACACACGUACUACAAUGGAUGUUAACAGAGGGAAGCAAGACAGCGAUGUGGAGCAAACCCCUAAAAACAUUCUCAGUUCAGAUUGCAGGCUGCAACCCGCCUGCAUGAAGAUGGAAUUGCUAGUAAUCGCGGAUCAGCAUGCCGCGGUGAAUACGUUCCCG
This 1000-nucleotide ribosomal RNA is filed under the name uncultured bacterium. Its description in RNAcentral is "bacterial SSU rRNA". It matches the Rfam family "Bacterial small subunit ribosomal RNA", at positions 356 to 1376 of the family's 1533-position model. RNAcentral also lists the same sequence under 1 other name. The record is from RNAcentral.